AAUGUCAUAUUUGUCUUGCAGAACCUGCGCGCCGCAGGACUAUGAAAAUAUGACAAACCAACAGUGCCACAAAUACGCCACUUUCGGUCAUGUAUCACCAAAAAUACGCCGUAACAAAUGUUGUUUUGUCAGUUAUUACGGCGCUUU
Molecule: long non-coding RNA, 147 nt
Organism: Thalassophryne amazonica
Lineage: Eukaryota; Metazoa; Chordata; Actinopteri; Batrachoidiformes; Batrachoididae
Exons: 3
Source: RefSeq, a predicted model, not a curated record